RNAcentral lists this ribosomal RNA (468 nucleotides) under uncultured bacterium. RNAcentral describes it as "partial 16S ribosomal RNA". It matches the Rfam family "Bacterial small subunit ribosomal RNA", at positions 28 to 507 of the family's 1533-position model. The record is from RNAcentral.
GACGAACGCUGGCGGCGUGCUUAACACAUGCAAGUCGAACGGAAAGGCCCUGCUUUUGUGGGGUGCUCGAGUGGCGAACGGGUGAGUAACACGUGAGUAACCUGCCCUUGACUUUGGGAUAACUUCAGGAAACUGGGGCUAAUACCGGAUAUGAGCUCCUGCUGCAUGGUGGGGGUUGGAAAGUUUCGGCGGUUGGGGAUGGACUCGCGGCUUAUCAGCUUGUUUGUUGGGUAGUGGCUUACCAAGGCUUUGACGGGUAGCCGGCCUGUGAGGGUGAACGGCCACAUUGGGACUGAGAUACGGCGCAGACUCCUACGGGAGGCAGCAGUGGGGAAUAUUGCACAGUGGGCGGAAGCCUGAUGCAGCAACGCCGCGUGCGGGAUGACGGCCUUCGGGUUGUAAACCGCUUUCGCCUGUGACGAAGCGUGAGUGACGGUAAUGGGUAAAGAAGCACCGGCUAACUACGUG